This 253-nucleotide ribosomal RNA is filed under the name uncultured bacterium. Its description in RNAcentral is "partial 16S ribosomal RNA". It matches the Rfam family "Bacterial small subunit ribosomal RNA", at positions 524 to 776 of the family's 1533-position model. The record is from RNAcentral.
GACAGAGGGUGCAAACGUUGUUCGGAAUUACUGGGCGUAAAGCGUGUGUAGGCGGCCUUGCAAGUCGGAUGUGAAAGCCCCGGGCUCAACCCGGGAAGUGCACCCGAUACUGCUAGGCUCGAGUACCGGAGAGGUUGGUGGAAUUCUCGGUGUAGAGGUGAAAUUCGUAGAUAUCGAGAGGAAUACCGGUGGCGAAGGCGGCAUCCUGGACCGACAUUGACGCUGAGGAGCGAAAGCUAGGGGAGCAAACGGG